UACGGAGGGGGGCUAGCGUUUGUUCGGAAUUACUGGGCGUAAAGCGCACGUAGGCGGCUUUGUAAGUUAGAGGUGAAAGCCCAGGGCUUAACCCUGGAAUUGCCUUUAAGACUGCAUCGCUAGAAUUGUGGAGAGGUAAGUGGAAUUCCGAGUGUAGAGGUGAAAUUCGUAGAUAUUCGGAAGAACACCAGUGGCGAAGGCGACUUACUGGACACAUAUUGACGCUGAGGUGCGAAAGCGUGGGGAGCAAACAGG
Molecule: ribosomal RNA, 255 nt
Filed under: uncultured bacterium
Lineage: Bacteria
Description: partial 16S ribosomal RNA
Rfam family: Bacterial small subunit ribosomal RNA
Source: RNAcentral